This 460-nucleotide ribosomal RNA is filed under the name uncultured bacterium. Its description in RNAcentral is "partial 16S ribosomal RNA". It matches the Rfam family "Bacterial small subunit ribosomal RNA", at positions 338 to 795 of the family's 1533-position model. The record is from RNAcentral.
CCUACGGGGGGCUGCAGUGAGGAAUAUUGGUCAAUGGACGAGAGUCUGAACCAGCCAAGUAGCGUGAAGGAUGACUGCCCUAUGGGUUGUAAACUUCUUUUAUAUGGGAAUAAAAUGUUCCACGUGUGGGAUUUUGUAUGUACCAUAUGAAUAAGGAUCGGCUAACUCCGUGCCAGCAGCCGCGGUAAUACGGAGGAUCCGAGCGUUAUCCGGAUUUAUUGGGUUUAAAGGGAGCGUAGGUGGAUUGUUAAGUCAGUUGUGAAAGUUUGCGGCGCAACCGUAAAAUUGCAGUUGAAACGGGCAGUCUUGAGGACAGUAGGGAGAGGCGGAAGUCGAGGUGGAGAGGGGAAAUGAGUAGAGAUGAGGAAGAAGGCAGAUGGCGAAGGCAGCCGACUAAACAGCCACUGACAGGGAGGCGCGAAAGUGGGGGUAGCAAACAGGAUGAGAUACCCUAGGAGUC